CUGAGUACGGCGGAACACGUGAAAUUCCGUCGGAAUCCGGGAGGACCAUCUCCCAAGGCUAAAUACUCCCUAGUGACCGAUAGUGAACCAGUACCGUGAGGGAAAGGUGAAAAGCACCCCGGAAGGGGAGUGAAACAGUUCCUGAAACCGUGUGCCUACAAGUAGUUAGAGCCCGUUAAUGGGUGAUAGCGUGCCUUUUGUAGAAUGAACCGGCGAGUUACGAUUUGUUGCAAGGUUAAGCGGAAAAAGCGGAGCCGUAGCGAAAGCGAGUCUGAAUAGGGCGCAUAAGUAACAGGUCGUAGACCCGAAACCAGGUGAUCUACCCAUGUCCAGGAUGAAGGUAAGGUAAUACUUACUGGAGGUCCGAACCCACGCACGUUGAAAAGUGCGGGGAUGAGGUGUGGGUAGCGGAGAAAUUCCAAUCGAACUUGGAGAUAGCUGGUUCUCUCCGAAAUAGCUUUAGGGCUAGCCUCGAGGUAAAGAGUCAUGGAGGUAGAGCACUGUUUGGACUAGGGGCCCUUCUCGGGUUACCGAAUUCAGAUAAACUCCGAAUGCCAUGUACUUAUACUCGGGAGUCAGACUGCGAGUGAUAAGAUCCGUAGUCGAAAGGGAAACAGCCCAGACCACCAGUUAAGGUCCCCAAAUAUAUGUUAAGUGGAAAAGGAUGUGGGGUUGCUUAGACAACCAGGAUGUUGGCUUAGAAGCAGCCACCAUUGAAAGAGUGCGUAAUAGCUCACUGGUCGAGUGACCCCGCGCCGAAAAUGUACCGGGGCUAAACAUAUUACCGAAACUGUGGAUGAACCUCUUUAGAGGUUCGUGGUAGGAGAGCGUUCUAAGGGCGGUGAAGUCAGACCGGAAGGACUGGUGGAGCGCUUAGAAGUGAGAAUGCCGGUAUGAGUAGCGAAAGAAGGGUGAGAAUCCCUUCCACCGAAUAUCUAAGGUUUCCUGAGGAAGGCUCGUCCGCUCAGGGUUAGUCGGGACCUAAGCCGAGGCCGAUAGGCGUAGGCGAUGGACAACAGGUAGAGAUUCCUGUACCAGUGCUAAUUGUUUAACCGAUGGGGUGACACAGAAGGAUAGGGAAUCGCACGAAUGGAAAUGUGCGUCCAAGCAGUGAGUGUGAGAAGUAGGCAAAUCCGCUUCUCGCGAAGCAUGAGCUGUGAUGGGGAAGGAAAUUAAGUACGGAAGUUCCUGAUUUCACGCUGUCAAGAAAAGCCUCUAGGAAGAGUAGUACUGCCCGUACCGCAAACCGACACAGGUAGAUGAGGAGAGAAUCCUAAGGUGAGCGAGAGAACUCUCGUUAAGGAACUCGGCAAAAUGACCCCGUAACUUCGGGAGAAGGGGUGCUCUAUUAGGGUGCAAGCCCGAGAGAGCCGCAGUGAAUAGGCCCAGGCGACUGUUUAGCAAAAACACAGGUCUCUGCAAAACCGUAAGGUGACGUAUAGGGGCUGACGCCUGCCCGGUGCUGGAAGGUUAAGAGGAGUGCUUAGCUUCGGCGAAGGUACGAAUUGAAGCCCCAGUAAACGGCGGCCGUAACUAUAACGGUCCUAAGGUAGCGAAAUUCCUUGUCGGGUAAGUUCCGACCCGCACGAAAGGCGCAACGAUCUGGGCACUGUCUCAACGAGAGACUCGGUGAAAUUAUAGUACCUGUGAAGAUGCAGGUUACCCGCGACAGGACGGAAAGACCCCGUGGAGCUUUACUGCAACCUGAUAUGGAAUGUUUGUACCGCUUGUACAGGAUAGGUAGGAGCCGAAGAGACGUGUGCGCUAGCAUACGAGGAGGCAAUGGUGGGAUACUACCCUGGCUGUAUGACCAUUCUAACCCGCCACGCUUAGCGCGUGGGGAGACAGUGUCAGGUGGGCAGUUUGACUGGGGCGGUCGCCUCCUAAAGAGUAACGGAGGCGCCCAAAGGUUCCCUCAGAAUGGAUGGAAAUCAUUCGCAGAGUGUAAAGGCACAAGGGAGCUUGACUGCGAGACUGACAAGUCGAGCAGGGACGAAAGUCGGGCUUAGUGAUCCGGUGGUUCCGCAUGGAAGGGCCAUCGCUCAACGGAUAAAAGCUACCCCGGGGAUAACAGGCUUAUCUCCCCCAAGAGUCCACAUCGACGGGGAGGUUUGGCACCUCGAUGUCGGCUCGUCGCAUCCUGGGGCUGUAGUCGGUCCCAAGGGUUGGGCUGUUCGCCCAUUAAAGCGGCACGCGAGCUGGGUUCAGAACGUCGUGAGACAGUUCGGUCCCUAUCCGUCGCGGGCGCAGGAAAUUUGAGAGGAGCUGUCCUUAGUACGAGAGGACCGGGAUGGACACA
This 2299-nucleotide ribosomal RNA is filed under the name Listeria monocytogenes. RNAcentral describes it as "partial 23S ribosomal RNA". It matches the Rfam family "Bacterial large subunit ribosomal RNA", at positions 408 to 2705 of the family's 2925-position model. The record is from RNAcentral. Lineage: Bacteria; Bacillati; Bacillota; Bacilli; Caryophanales; Listeriaceae.